AGAGUUUGAUCCUGGCUCAGGAUGAACGCUAGCGGCAGGCUUAAUACAUGCAAGUCGUGGGGCAGCACAGGUAGCAAUACUGGGUGGCGACCGGCAAACGGGUGCGGAACACGUACGCAACCUUCCUUUAACUGGAGAAUAGCCCGGGGAAACCCGGAUUAAUACUCCGUAACAUUAUGAAGUGGCAUCACUUUAUAAUUAUAGCUCCGGCGGUUAAAGAUGGGCGUGCGACUGAUUAGGUAGUUGGCGGGGUAACGGCCCACCAAGCCUUCGAUCAGUAACUGGUGUGAGAGCACGACCAGUCACACGGGCACUGAGACACGGGCCCGACUCCUACGGGAGGCAGCAGUAAGGAAUAUUGGUCAAUGGACGAAAGUCUGAACCAGCCAUGCCGCGUGGAGGAUUAGGGCCCUCUGGGUUGUAAACUCCUUUUAUUUGGGAAGAAAUCCAUAUAUUUUUAUGUGGUUGACGGUACCAGAAGAAUAAGCACCGGCUAACUCCGUGCCAGCAGCCGCGGUAAUACGGAGGGUGCAAGCGUUAUCCGGAUUCACUGGGUUUAAAGGGUGCGUAGGUGGGUAAGUAAGUCCGUGGUGAAAUCUCUGAGCUUAACUCAGAAACUGCCGUGGAUACUAUUUGUCUUGAAUAUUGUGGAGGUGAGCGGAAUAUGUCAUGUAGCGGUGAAAUGCUUAGAUAUGACAUAGAACACCAAUUGCGAAGGCAGCUCACUACACAGUAAUUGACGCUGAGGCACGAAAGCGUGGGGAUCAAACAGGAUUAGAUACCCUAGUAGUCC
This 793-nucleotide ribosomal RNA is filed under the name uncultured bacterium. RNAcentral's name for it is "bacterial SSU rRNA". It matches the Rfam family "Bacterial small subunit ribosomal RNA", at positions 8 to 796 of the family's 1533-position model. The record is from RNAcentral.